RNAcentral lists this long non-coding RNA (1310 nucleotides) under Brassica napus (rape). RNAcentral describes it as "long non-coding RNA (BNAP_LNC001454)". The record is from RNAcentral. Lineage: Eukaryota; Viridiplantae; Streptophyta; Magnoliopsida; Brassicales; Brassicaceae.
AAUAUAUAUAUAUUAAAUCAACCCGAAAUACGGGAAUUCAGAUUCGGUUACAAGCUCGAUUUGAACAAAAGCUCCUAAGUUAAUCUAUUACAUUCUAGUUUCGCCCACCCACUAAACCCGGCACGUUCCACUAGUCCGAUUUUUGAAAUCCUUAAGAAUUGGUUAUUGUUCUCAACCAUUGACGAUUAUCGCAGGAAGGUGAGGUUCUCCUCAUUUCUUCGGAUGCCGGGACUUCCUUUGUCGUCUCUGGAGUAGCUAGUUUCCAAUGAACGCCUCGAGACAUUGUUACCGUCACUGUCAAUGACGCACAUGACGAACUAGAGAAGUGGAGAACCAAGAACCUUACUGAGAAGACGCUCGAGAGCCCAAUCUGUACACACUUCCAAGUUGCCAUAAACCGAACAAAGGCGGGCUGAUAUCAUCGCCACCACCAAUCCAUUAAGCCUCCUGAACCUGCAAGGAAAAUCAAGACCACCGCAAGAGAGCAAGAGUUCUGAACGGUGCCGGGACAUAGUCUGAGAUCAAGCGAUGCCUUUACGACUUUGAUCAAGCGAUGUUCUGAACGGUGCCGGGACAUAGUCUGAGAGCAAGAGUUCUGAACGGUGCCGGGACAUAGUCUGAGAGCAAGAGAGCAAGAUUUGAUGCUUUAAACAGGUUCAGGCUGAACGUGGUCUCUGUUUACUGUCUUUGUUAUAUGAUUUGUUCUCUUUGGUUUAUUUGUUUUUUUCUUUGGAUUAUGUCUUUGUGGAGUCAACUAUUAUUUUUGUUUUUGGUUUCUUAGGGUAAAGGCUUCAUCUUUGGUUUUAAUGUUUCAAUGUGGCAUGUUAAGUUUGUAUGUUUCAAUGUUCAUGUUUUAUGUUCAAGGUCGUGUGAUCGUUUGUUGUAUGUUUCAUGUUGUUGUUCUGUUUUGGUAAUGAAAUGCUGUUUUUGUUUCAUGUUCUUCUUCUGUAACGACAAGCUGUUUCUGUUUCAUGUUAUUGUGUUGUGUUACCAUUGUGAAGAUAUACCAAAGAUUAUUUUCAUUGUUGUUCUUGUGUUGUGUUGGCUUUGGUUUCAGAGUGGAGAAUUGGGAGCACUGGGCGUGAUGAUCACGGAGCAUCUGUGUGUUGUGUUGUCUUGUGAUGUAUUCUUGUGGUGAAGUCAUAAAUCAUUACUUGUCACAUGUUUUAUAUUCUUGUAGAAGUGGUCUUGUGGUCUAGUUUUAUUGUGUCACGGAAGUGGAACAACGCUUGAUUCAUUGCAAUGUUGAUUUUAACAAGUUAUUUUUUUGUUUUUUUAAGAACCUUUGAUUAAGAAACUACCAUUGAAAC